RNAcentral lists this ribosomal RNA (832 nucleotides) under uncultured bacterium. RNAcentral describes it as "bacterial SSU rRNA". It matches the Rfam family "Bacterial small subunit ribosomal RNA", at positions 53 to 894 of the family's 1533-position model. The record is from RNAcentral.
ACAUGCAAGUCGAACGGGAGAAACUGAGAUGGAUUUAUUCAACUUAGCAGACACCGUGGCGGAUGGGUGAGUAACACGUAAGCAACCUGCCUAAAAGAGGGGAAUAACAGAGAGAAAUUUCUGAUAAUACCGCAUAUACCAAAGUAUCGCAUGGUACAAUUGGGAAAGAUUUAUCACUUUUAGAUGGGCUUGCGUCUGAUUAGCUAGUUGGUGAGAUAAUAGCUCACCAAGGCGACGAUCAGUAGCCGGAUUGAGAGGUUGAACGGCCACAUUGGGACUGAGACACGGCCCAGACUCCUACGGGAGGCAGCAGUCGGGAAUAUUGCACAAUGGAGGAAACUCUGAUGCAGUGACACCGCGUAUAGGAAGAAGGCCUUAGGGUUGUAAGCUAUUGUCGUGUGAGAAGAAAAUGACUAUCACAGGAGGAAGCCCUGGCUAAAUAUGUGCCAGCAGCCGCGGUAAUACAUAUGGGGCGAGCGUUAUCCGGAUUUAUUGGGUGUAAAGGGUUCGUAGGCGGGAAAGUAAGUCAGUAUGUGAAAUCCCUCGGCUCAACCGAGGAACUGCGAUUGAAACUAUUUUUCUUGAGUACUGGAGGGGAAAGUGGAAUUCUUAGUGUAGCGGUGAAAUGCGUAGAUAUUAGGAAGAACACCAGUGGCGAAGGCGACUUUCUGGACAGUAACUGACGCUGAGGAACGAAAGUGUGGGGAGCAAACAGGAUUAGAUACCCUGGUAGUCCACACUGUAAACGAUGGAUACUAGGGGUUGGCAUAGGAAAUGUCGGUCCCGCAGUUAACGCAUUAAGUAUCCCACCUGGGGAGUACGACCGCAAGGU